This 118-nucleotide ribosomal RNA is filed under the name Anolis carolinensis (green anole). The record is from RNAcentral. Lineage: Eukaryota; Metazoa; Chordata; Lepidosauria; Squamata; Anolidae.
GAUGAUAGACAUAUAUCUUAAAGGCACCAGAUCCCAUCUGAUCUUAGAAGUUAGGCAGGGUCACUUCUGAUUAGUGUUUGAAUAGGAGCCUUCUGGCAAAAAGCAAGUGCUGUAGGCU